CUGUCUAACUGUCAAAUUUAUUAAAACUAAACUGUCAAUGUCAACCUGACAUAACCUUAACCUGUUUGGCUGUUUUUUUUUCCGCACUAAUCAAAACAAAAGCAUGCGUCGUUGUGUUCAACAACAUCGAUCGCACGAAGAAAUCUAAAGUUUACCCGAUUAAACUUACGAAACUCUAAAAUAAUGAGUGAAUCUUACAGGACCAAACAUAACAAUGCAAACCCAACUACACUCUUUGUUGAACUAAAACCCAUGAUAAACCACUGAUCAAACCAUCCACUGUGACAAAACAUUCACAAUCCCUCACUAAUUAUAUACCAAAGUUACUAUUCUACAAUAAGAUAUGACAUACUUGGUGAAUGCUGAUGAUGAUGAUGUUCUAUAUUUGACAACCAAACUCUGAGACUAUAUACUAUGAAGUAAACAUCCUGACUCAGGUAAAGAAGCGGAUUGCAACGACACUCAAAAUAGGAACAACUAAACUACCCACAUAACUCUUAACUUACAGAGAAUAUAUUGACACUAAAUGAGGUCCUAGCCUACUUUAUAUGGUCUAACACUUUAUCAACAACAGUUUACUUGAUCUACAUUAAUUGUUUUCUAAAUUUAUUGUUAUGUCUGACCGCUACCCUUUCAUCACAAAAUAUUUUUUUAUUAUUUUUUCUUUCAAAUGAGAUUAAUGUUAUAUUUUCUUUUCUUUAUUAACUGUAACUCAUUGUAUUUGUUUAGAGAAAUGUCUGAUAACAUAUUCUGCUACUAAUUGGCUCUCUGGAAUUUCAUA
Long non-coding RNA from Plutella xylostella (diamondback moth), 781 nucleotides. RefSeq lists it as uncharacterized. The record is from RefSeq and is a predicted model, not a curated record. Lineage: Eukaryota; Metazoa; Arthropoda; Insecta; Lepidoptera; Plutellidae.